Molecule: transfer RNA, 77 nt
Filed under: Ammoniphilus oxalaticus
Lineage: Bacteria; Bacillati; Bacillota; Bacilli; Caryophanales; Paenibacillaceae
Description: tRNA-Arg
Rfam family: tRNA
About the family: Transfer RNA (tRNA) molecules are approximately 80 nucleotides in length.
Source: RNAcentral
GUCCCAGUAGCUCAGUUGGAUAGAGCAACGGCCUUCUAAGCCGUGCGUCAGGGGUUCGAAUCCCUUCUGGGACGCCA